RNAcentral lists this ribosomal RNA (468 nucleotides) under uncultured bacterium. RNAcentral describes it as "partial 16S ribosomal RNA". It matches the Rfam family "Bacterial small subunit ribosomal RNA", at positions 28 to 507 of the family's 1533-position model. The record is from RNAcentral.
GACGAACGCUGGCGGCGUGCUUAACACAUGCAAGUCGAACGGAAAGGCCCUGCUUUUGUGGGGUGCUCGAGUGGCGAACGGGUGAGUAACACGUGAGUAACCUGCCCUUGACUUUGGGAUAACUUCAGGAAACUGGGGCUAAUACCGGAUAGGAGCUCCUGCUGCAUGGUGGGGGUUGGAAAGUUUCGGCGGUUGGGGAUGGACUCGCGGCUUAUCAGCUUGUUGGUGGGGUAGUGGCUUACCAAGGCUUUGACGGGUAGCCGGCCUGAGAGGGUGACCGGCCACUUGGGGCGGGGAGCACGCCCCGGCCCCCUCGGGGGGCGGGAGGGGGGAAUUGUUGCCAUGGGGGGGGAGGCUGGAUGCAGCACCCCCGCGGGCGGGAGGGCGGCUUUCGGUUUAUAACCCGUUUUCGCCUGGGACGAGGGGUGAGGGGGGGUAAUGGGUAAGGAACCCCCGCCUAACUACGUC